UUUCCGUAGGUGAACCUGCGGAAGGAUCAUUCAUAAUAAAGUGUUUUAUGGCACUUUUUAAAAAUCCAUAUCCACCUUGUGUGCAAUGUUAGAUCUCGUCAAUCUUGGCGAGAUUUUUAUACAUCAACUCAUUCUUUAUCUAAUUUGUCUGAAAAAUAUUAUGAAUACUUAAUUCAAAAUACAACUUUCAACAACGGAUCUCUUGGCUCUC
RNAcentral lists this unclassified non-coding RNA (211 nucleotides) under plant metagenome. Its description in RNAcentral is "partial contains small subunit ribosomal RNA, internal transcribed spacer 1, and 5.8S ribosomal RNA". The record is from RNAcentral.